RNAcentral lists this ribosomal RNA (253 nucleotides) under uncultured bacterium. RNAcentral's name for it is "partial 16S ribosomal RNA". It matches the Rfam family "Bacterial small subunit ribosomal RNA", at positions 524 to 776 of the family's 1533-position model. The record is from RNAcentral.
UACAGAGGUCCCAAGCGUUGUUCGGAUUCAUUGGGCGUAAAGGGUGCGUAGGCGGCGCGGUAAGUCGGGUGUGAAAUCUCGGGGCUUAACUCCGAAACUGCAUUCGAUACUGCCGUGCUUGAGGACUGGAGAGGAGAAUGGAAUUCCCGGUGUAGCGGUGAAAUGCGCAGAUAUCGGGAGGAACACCGGUGGCGAAGGCGGUUCUCUGGGCCUGUGCUGACGCUGAGGAGCGAAAGCGUGGGGAGCGAACAGG